RNAcentral lists this ribosomal RNA (479 nucleotides) under uncultured bacterium. RNAcentral's name for it is "SSU rRNA". It matches the Rfam family "Bacterial small subunit ribosomal RNA", at positions 26 to 523 of the family's 1533-position model. The record is from RNAcentral.
AGGAUGAACGCUGGCGGCGUGCCUAACACAUGCAAGUCGAACGUCCUGUCUCGCAAGAGGCAGGGAGUGGCGGACGGGUGAGUACCACGUGGGUCAUCUACCGUGAGGUGAGGAAUACCGGCGAGAAAUCGCCGACAAGACCGCAUAGCCUCGGUGCAAGUCGAGGAAAGCUCUCUCGAGAGAGGGAGCGCCACACGAGGAGCCUGCGCCCGAUUAGCUAGCUGGUGGAGUAACGGUUCACCAGGGCGACGAUCGGUAGCUGGUCUGAGAGGACGAUCAGCCACACUGGGAUUGAGAACGGCCCAGACUCCUACGGGGGGCAGCAGUGAGGAAUUUUCGUCAAUGGGGCAACCCUGAACGAGCAACGCCGCGUGCAGGAAGAAGGUUUUCGGAUCGUAAACUGCUUUUCGUCGGGGAAGAGGAACGGACGGUACCCGAGGAAUCAGCCCCGGCUAACUACGUGCCAGCAGCCGCGGUAA